UACGUAGGGUGCGAGCGUUAAUCGGAAUUACUGGGCGUAAAGCGUGCGCAGGCGGUUUCGUAAGCUGGAGGGGAAAUCCCCGGGCUUAACCUGGGAAUGGCCUUCAGGACUGCGAGGCUAGAGUGCGGCAGAGGGAGGUGGAAUUCCACGUGUAGCAGUGAAAUGCGUAGAGAUGUGGAGGAACACCGAUGGCGAAGGCAGCCUCCUGGGCCAGCACUGACGCUCAUGCACGAAAGCGUGGGGAGCAAACAGG
RNAcentral lists this ribosomal RNA (253 nucleotides) under uncultured prokaryote. Its description in RNAcentral is "partial 16S ribosomal RNA". It matches the Rfam family "Bacterial small subunit ribosomal RNA", at positions 524 to 776 of the family's 1533-position model. The record is from RNAcentral.